This is a long non-coding RNA of Metopolophium dirhodum (rose-grain aphid), 434 nucleotides long. RefSeq lists it as uncharacterized. The transcript is spliced from 3 exons. The record is from RefSeq and is a predicted model, not a curated record. Lineage: Eukaryota; Metazoa; Arthropoda; Insecta; Hemiptera; Aphididae.
UGAUAACUUAAUUACUAUGCCUAAUGACAUUUGUUUAUUUGUCAAUCGUUCCCUAAGUGACGAAGAGAAAAUUCUGGUUUUAAAAAUGUCUGGAUUCCGGCAAAAAAUUUUGAUUUUCCUAUACAAAAUAAAUGUAUGAAAAAAAAAUUAAAAUUCCAAUAUUCAUGAUUAGAAAAAUAUUCAUGGUUGGCUUAUUCAAAAGAAGAUGAAGGGGCUUACUGUCGGCACUGUGUAGUGUUUUCCAAGCAUGGAGGAGUUGGAAACCAAUUAUUGGGGCAACUUGUACUAACACCAUUUUGCAAUUAUAAAAAUGCCCUCAAAGCAUUUCAAGAUCAUGCAAAUACUUCCUACCAUGCAUCAUCUGUUUUAAAGUCCCAGCAUUUUUUAAAUAUUAUAGAUCACACACAGCCAUCAAUAAUUGAACGCAUAGAUAC